This 89-nucleotide small nuclear RNA is filed under the name Panthera pardus (leopard). The record is from RNAcentral. Lineage: Eukaryota; Metazoa; Chordata; Mammalia; Carnivora; Felidae.
GUGCUCGCUUCAGCAGCACAUAUACUAAAAUUGGAACGAUACAGAGAAGAUCAGCAUGGCCCCUGCGCAAGGAUGACAUGCAAAAAAAA